This is a long non-coding RNA of Aedes aegypti (yellow fever mosquito), 1070 nucleotides long. RefSeq lists it as uncharacterized. The record is from RefSeq and is a predicted model, not a curated record. The transcript is spliced from 3 exons. NCBI's taxonomy places the organism in Eukaryota, Metazoa, Arthropoda, Insecta, Diptera, Culicidae.
CGGAGAAGAACAAAAAGCACACACAUUCACGACACAGACAACGCAAAACAAUGCAUAAUUCAUCGUCGCCGCUGCCGCUGUCGCUGCCGCUGCGUCGUCAUUCGAACGGUGUGCGUUGUUCCCCCUGAUGGCGCGAGGCGAGCGCAGAUGUCUGAUUGCGCACCGCUACAACAAAACAACUGCAACAACAGUGCUCCACGAAUUCAUCAGUCAAGUUUGCCCAGAACUCAUCUUUCGGCACGGCGCACAGUGGCUCCACAACAAAAACUGAUCAAAGUGAGGUGCCCCCAGCUUCAAAACAGUAGAGCCAUCUUCGAACCACUGUGCAUCGCACCGGUUGAAAUAUUACGGCGACAACGAGCGUGGUAGAACCGUACCGAACAGAAAAAAAGCUUCGGCAGAACCCGCAGCACGACGACAACAGCAACGCUCUGACUCCGGCAUGAUUAAUUUCUCUCACUUUUCAGCUGAAAUCGUCUGAAUUGGAAGUGAAAAGAAGCAAUUGUCAUCAUUAUUCUUGCUUAAUUGCUUUUUGUUCCAGUGAAAAGGUGUUAUUACAUUGGACCCGGCGAGGGGCCUGUCAGCACCUUGGAAGCGCGUCGUCGCGGUUGUCAUAACUUGCCAUAUCUCAACGAGCAGCAGCAGCAGCAGUUGCACGUCGAUCCGAUCCCGGUUUUCACUUCCAGCUUUCCAAGGCUGCGUGGUUCUCUAAUGAUUGUCGAAGAAAUUUGAAGUCAAGGCCACUUCAAGGAAGGGCCCGAUCCGAUGGGACGUACAAGACCACUCUGAAGGCGGCACACGCAUCUUAGUGACUUCUAGUGAUGAGAGGACGCGCAGGCAGGUUGCGGCGAAUCAAUUUCCGCUGAGUCACUGUACGUCAGCCCACAGCAAGAGGAUUGGGUUGAUGAUGUUAUCACGAGAAGUGAAUAUGCAUACAUGGGUGAUGUGUAUAAAUAUCUUCCUUGGACAUCCACGGCAUUGGCGUAGUAAUAGGGGAAAUCAGGGGUCAGUCCCACUUCUAAAAAAUAAAAAGGUCUCAACUGCAUGACUACUUUCAGAUUACAGGUUUG